RNAcentral lists this ribosomal RNA (6897 nucleotides) under Gossypium hirsutum (cotton). RNAcentral describes it as "Bacterial large subunit ribosomal RNA". It matches the Rfam family "Bacterial large subunit ribosomal RNA". The record is from Rfam by way of RNAcentral. Lineage: Eukaryota; Viridiplantae; Streptophyta; Magnoliopsida; Malvales; Malvaceae.
GUUCAAACGAGGAAAGGCUUACGAUGGAUACCUAGGCACUGAGAGACGAGGAAGGGCGUAGUAAGCGACGAAAUGCUUCGGGGAGUUGAAAAUAAGUGUAGAUCUGAAGAUUCUCGAAUAGGUCAACCUUUCAAACUGCUGCUGAAUCCAUGGGCAGACAAUAGACAACCUGGCAAACUGAAACAUCUUAGUAGCCGGAGGAAAAGAAAAGAAAGCAAAAGCGAUUCCCACAGUAGCGGCGAGUGAAAUGAGAGUAGCCUAAACCGUGAAAACCGGGUUGUGGGAAAGUAAUAAAAGCGUCGUACUGCUAGGCAAACCGGUAAAGUGCCGAACCCUAGAUGGUGAAAGUCCAAUAGCUGAAAGCAUCACUAUCUUACGCUCUGACCCGAGCAGCAUGGGGCACAUGGAAUCCCGUGUGAAUCAACAAGGACCACCUUGCAAGGCUAAAUACUCUUGGGUGACCAAUAGCAAAGUAGUACCGUGAGGGAAGGGUGAAAAGAACCCCCGUCGGGGAGUGAAAUAGAACAUGAAACCGUAAGCUCCCAAGCAGUGGGAGGAGCCCAGGGCUCUGACCGCAUGCCUGUUGAAGAAUAAGCCGGCAACUCAUAGGCAGUGGCUUGGUUAAGGGAACCCACCGGAGCCGUAGCGAAAGCGAGUCUUCAUAGGGCAAUUUUCACUGCUUAUGGACCCGAACCUGGGUGAUCUAUACAUGACUAGGAUGAAGAUUGGGUGAAACAAAGUGGAGGUCCGAACUGACUGAUGUUGAAGAAUCAGUGGAUGAGUUGUGGUUAGGUGUGAAAUGCCACUCGAACCCAGAGCUAGCUGGUUCUCCCCAAAAUGCGUUGAGGCGUAACAGUUGACUGGACAUCUAGGGGUAAAGCACUGUUUCGGUGCGGGCCAUGAGAGCGGCACCAAAUCGAGGCAAACUUUCAAUACUAGAUAUGACCUCAAAAUAACAAAGGUUGAGGUCGGCCAGUGAGACGAUGGGGGAUAAGCUUCAUCGUCGAGAGGGAAACAGCCUGGAUCACCAACUAAGGCCCCUAAAUGACCGCUCAGUGAUAAAGGAGGUAGGGGUGCAGAGACAGCCAGGAGGUUUGCCUAGAAGCAGCCACCCUUGAAAGAGUGCGUAAUAGCUCACUGAUCGAGCACUCUUGCGACGAAGAUGAAUGAGGCUAAGCGAUCUGCCGAAGCUGUGGGAUGUAAAAAUGCAUCGGUAGGGGAAUGUUCUGUAGCGGCCCGAUUUUGGGCCUAGUCGGAACAGUGGUUUUGGGACCACUAUUUUGAGGCCAGAGAAAAUUAUUUUAGUAUUAUUUUAUGUAUUAUAAUGUGAAUUUAUAAGUGCAUGUAAAUUUUGGUAAGUUAAUUUUAGCAAUUUCUAGUCCAAUUCCGAAAAAGGACUAAAUCGCGUAAAAGGUAAAAGUUGUGUUUUGGUGCCUAAAGGUGUUUAAUAGCUAGAUAACUAAAAUUGGGGGCUUUAAAAUGGCAAUUAGACCCUUUUAUUGAGGUGGGAGGCCAAGGGAGACAAGAUUGGUUAAAAAGUCAUAUUUUAUGGGAUUUAAAGUGACUUUUUGGUUAAUAAAAUAAAUAAAGAAAAAGUUGUCAUUUUCUCUUUCAUUUUUUCUCUUCUCCUCCACCGAAAUAUGCAGCAAAGAAAGGGUUUUGAAGCUGGAAAAUUUCAGCAACAUAUUUCCCUUGCUUGUAAGUGAUUUUAAUGUCUUUGCUUGAUGAUUUUUACAUUUUUGGAAUCCCUAAAGCAUGAGCUUUCAUAAGAGGGGACUAUUUUGCAAAACGAUGAAGAGUAUAGGGUUUUGCCAUGAGAUUAAAUGUUUUUUUUCUGUGUUUUUAUGGAAGAUUAUGAGUCCUAGUUGUCUAAUAAACAACUUUUGUGAAAGAAAUUGCAUGAAAACACCUUAAAAAGGGCUAGAUUGCUAAGUUGUAAAAUGAGUUGAAAAUGUGUAAAAUAGUUGAAAUUAUGAGUUGCUAUAGUUAUGAAAAUGGUUCAUCUAGACUCAAGAAGUAAAGAAAUGUGAUAAAAAUUAUUUUACGAGCAUUGGGGCAAAAGUGCAAAUAUGAAAAAGUUUAGGGGUCAAAAUGAAAAUUUUUAAAAGUAUGAUUUUUAGACCCAUAUGAAUAUGGUGGCUGAUUGGUAGGCUAAAUGUGAUAUUAUAGAUCAAGGAAAUCGAGAUUUGGACCUAGAACAGAAAGAAAUCGAUUAAGGGAUGAUUAUGUCCUUUUUACCUUUGUGGUAUCAAGGUAAGUUGGUAUGUAAACAAUACCAUGCUAUACAUGUAUUUAAAUGUUAUCAUUACAUGAAUUGUAAAAAUCUUAAUGUGUAUGUGAUUAAUAGAAAUAUGAUGAGACAAAGCCUUAAUAGACGAGGAAAAAUCCCGUUUGAACCUUAGGAAUAGAAUAGGAUACGAGUGACAUGUCACUAGGAAUUAUGAGUCUAGAUGACUAGCUCGAGAGUGAGCAUUGAAAUGUCAUGGGAUAUGAGGUAGCUUUAGCUACAAUUGAGGUACUUAUGUGCAAAGGCUAUUCCAAGUGUUCAACGGGUAAUCCGAGGAAAGAGUUGAUGAUGGUCCCAAUGAGGUAAGUCAUUGGUGAGUAUGCACUUGAGUUAUGUUACGAGUUGUGCAAGUACGUAUACUAAGCCUAUGAGAAUGCCUUGAUAUGUGAUGAUCUAUGAUGCAUAAAAUGUGUUCUUACCAUGACGGAUGAAAUGAUGUUGUAUUAAUUUUGUGAACAAUGAUCAUGAAUGAGUAACUUAGCCUUGACAGAUUUGAGUUACUGCAGUAGUGUAACUUUGAAAAUACACUAAAAAUAGUGGAAAAUGAGUUAGAGAUAGAAUAAAAUAUGGGAUUAAAUCUUAAUGAGUCUAUUUUCACAUGAAAGAAAUAUGGGAGAAAAAGAAUUAUAUAUUGUGUGAUAUUUGAAUUCUUGUGAAAUAGGGUCUGAAUGAAUUCGAGAUCCCCUAUUCUAAAUUUAUAAAUUCACAAUAAAUUGUAGAAAAAUUAUGAAGAGUCAUACCUUACAUUCAUGGAUUUCUUAUUGAGUCUAUUUUUAAGGUAAAUAAACGACAUGGUCAUUGGAAUUAUGUACAGGGGUCAGAGUAGUCAUACCCUGAAAUAGGGAAGACUUUAACUAAUAAACUGUACUAAAUGAAUCGACCAAAAAUUCUGGAAAUUUUAUGGAAGAAUGAUAAAUGAGCCUAGUUUCAGGGAAAAUUUACGGAACUUAAUUUAGAGUUUUAUAGCUCCAGAGAUAAAUAAUUUAGUGACUGUUACUCAGGAAGACAUCUUACAAUGAAAUUAUGAUUAUGUGGUAAACAUUGACAAAAAUUUGUUAAUGAGUUGCUUAUUGAUUUCUUAUAAGCUUACUAUGAUCUGUAGGUGUGAAAUUAGAAUAUAUAUAUAUAAAUAUAUAUUAUAUUUUGAAAGUGAUGCUUGAAUAGUCGAAUAAUGACUAGUUUAAAGUUGUUGAAUUUAAGCUCAAGAGCAUAGAAGGGCAAAUUCGGAUAAGGGAAAAGAGAAAGUAAUCGAAUAGCCGUUGUAAUCGUACGACAACAUUCGAGGUAAGUUCAUAAGUAUAUAAAAAUGAUUGUGAGAUUGAAAUAUGUAAUAUGUGUAUUGGAUUUGAUGCACUACGUGUGCGAUAAAGGCAAUAACUACGACAUUUAAAAUGGCGCUGGGUGCGUGAGAUUGUAAUAGCAUUGGCUGAGUAAAUGGAACUAUGUGGGUGACACAGAUAUAAGUUCGGUUUAAUGUAAUGGCACUAAAUGUGCGAUAUAAUUAUAGCUUCGGCUAAUUAAUUGGCACUAAGUGUGCGAUACAAUUAUAGCUUCGGUUAAUUAAUUGGCACUAAGUGUGCGAAACCAUUAUAACUUCGGUUAAUUAAUUAGCACUAAGUGUGCAAGUUUGUUGAAUGUUCAAGGAUGAUUGAAUGAAUUAAUGUUUCGAGCAUUGAAAUGAUAAGCGUGACAGAUAAGAAGGUAAUGGUACAGGUAUGUACGAAACCUAUGUGGUGGAUGAUGUUAAGUAUGAAGUAGAUGAAAAUUUAUGUAAAUGAAUGGGGAAAUAUUAUUCGGGCCUUUGAGCCUAGCAGGCUAUAAUGUCGGUGAGAUACUAUUCGGGCUUUCGAGCCUAGCAGGCUAUAAUGCCGAUGAAAUGAUAUCGGGCCUCGAGCCUAGCAGGCGAAAUGCUGGUGAUUUGAGAAAAGUCUAAGACUAAGGUACCUCGUGUUAGAUUGACAAAUGAAUACAUUCAAUACGUUAAGAGGGCCAGGUACGCAUUAUGUACUCAUAUGUGAGUUUGAUUUGAAUUGAAUCAUAAGUGUGAUGUGAUACAUAUGUGAAUAAAUGUUAUAACUAUAUAUAUGACCAUGAUACAUUCGGUCAAGGUGUGAAAGUAUGUGAAAGUAUUUGAUUUAUUUAUGUUAUAUGAAUUCAGAUUAAGUGUUAUAAGAAUGCUGAAUGUGCAUUAUGUGCUUGUGUAUAUUCAGCCUGAUGGAAAUAUACUUAAAAUAUGGCCUCUUGAGAAAUUGAAUAAUCGAAGUAUAAUUGCAUUUAUUUGUUUGCAUUGCUUAAAACUUAUUAAGCUUAUAAAAGCUUACUCCGUUGCUACAUUCCUCUGUUUUAUAGAUUGUUGACUCCAGUUACCUGCUCGGGUUGGAGUUCGCCGGAGAUAUUAUCACACGUCGAGCUAACACUAUGGGUGUAGUGAUUUCAAAUACUUUGAGUCUAUGGCAUGUAUAGGUGUGUAAAUAUUAGAGUAUGUGAUCUGGCUUUAACCAUAUGUGUUGGCCUAUUUUGAUUAUAGGGUUGUAAAUCCAUUUUAAUUAUGCAUGAAUGUGCUAUGGUAUUACAUGAUGAGUUUAUAAUGAUUAAAGCAUGAAUUUUCCAAGUUUUUCUUAAGUUCUCGGUUUAGUCCCGAACCACCCCAGAUAUAUGUUUUGGGUCUCGUGAACCCAUUUAAGGGACAAGAUUGUAUGUGAAAAGAAAUUUUUUUAAUUAUUUGAGAUUUCAUGGCCCUGUUUAGUAUAGAAGUGUUAGUAAAAUUCAAGUAGCACCUCGAACCCCAUCCCAGCGUCGGAUGCAGGCGAGGGGUGUUACAUGUUCCACCUUAGGGGGAAUCACCUGCGUGAGCGGGAGUAGACGAAGUGGAAGCGAGAAUGUCAGCUUGAGUAACGCAAACAUUGGUGAGAAUCCAAUGCCCCGAAAACCCAAGGGUUCCUCCGCAAAGUUCAUCCAUGGAGGGUGAGUCAGGGCCUAAGAUCAGGCCGAAAGGCGUAGUCGAUGGACAACAGGUAAAUAUUCCUGUACUACCCCUUGUUGGUUCCAAGGGAUGGAGGAGGCUAGGAUAGCACAAAGAUGGUUAUCGGUUCAAGGACACAAGGUGACCCUCUUUUUCAGGGUAAGAAGGGGUAGAGAAAAUGCCCCGAGCCAAUGUUCGAGUACCAGGUGCUACGGCGCUGAAGUAACCCAUGCUAUACUCCCAGGAAAAGCUCGAACAACCUUCAACAAAAGGGUACCUGUACCUGAAACUGACACAGGUGGGUAGGUAGAGAAUACCUAGAGGCGUGAGACAACUCUCUCUAAGGAACUCGAAAAAAUAGCCCCAUAACUUCAGGAGAAGGGGUGCCUCCUUACAAAAGGGGUCGUAGUGACCAGGCUCGGGCGACUGUUUACCAAAAACACAAGUCUCCGCAAAGUCGUAAGACCAUGUAUGGGGGUUGACACCUGCCCAGUGCCGGAAAGUCAAGGAAGUUGGUGACCUGAUGACAAGAGAGCCGAUGACCGAAGCCCCGGUGAAUGGCGGCCGUAACUAUAACGGUCCUAAGGUAGCAAAAUUUCUUGUCGGGUAUGUUUUGACCCACACGAAAGGCGUAACGAUCUGGGCACUGUCUCGAAGAGAGGCUCAAUCAAAUAGACAUGUCUGUGAAGAUGCGGACUACCCGCACUUGGACAGAAAGACCCUAUGAAGCUUCACUGUUCCCUGGGAUUGGCUUUGGACUUUUACUGCAUAGCUUAGGUAGAAGGAGAAGAAGGCCUCCUUCCGGGAGGGCCCGAGCCAUUAGUGAGAUACCACUCUGGAAGAGCUAGAAUUCUAACCUUGUGUCCAGACCUACAGGCCAAGGGACAGUCUCAAGUAGACAGUUUCUAUGGGGCGUAGGCCUCCCAAAAGGUAACGGAGGCAUGGAAAGGUUUCCUCAGGCCAGACGAAGAUUGGCCCUCGAGUGCAAAGGCAGAAGGGACCUUGACUGCAAGACCUACCCGUCGAGCAGGGAUGAAAUUUGGCCUUAGUGAUCUGACGAUGCCGAGUGGAAGGGUCGUCGCUCAACGGAUAAAAGUUACUCUAGGGAUAAUAGGCUGAUUUUCCCUAAGAGCUCACAUCGACGGGAAGGUUUGGCACCUCAAUGUCGACUCUUCGCCACCUGGGGCUGUAGUAUGUUCCAAGGGUUGGGCUGUUCGCCCAUUAAAACGGUACGUGAGCUGGGUUCAGAACGUCGUGAGACAGUUCGGUCCAUAUCUGGUGUGGGCGUUAGAGCAUUGAGAGGACCUUUCCCUAGUAUGAGAGGACCGAGAAGGACGCACCUCUGGUGUACCAGUUAUCGUGCCCACGGUAAAUGCUCCAAGUGCGGAGUGGAUAACUGCUGAAAGCAUCUAAGUAGUAAGCCCACCCCAAGAUGAGUGCUCUCCUAUCCUGACUUCCCAAGAGCCUCCGUAGCACAGCCGAGAUGGUAAGGGGUUUUCUAUCCCUGCGAGGACCGAGUGACAGAAGUUUUGAGAAUUCAAGAGAAGGUCACAGCGAGACGAGCUGUUUAUCAUUACGAUAGGUGUCAAGUGGAAGUGCAGUGAUGUACGCAGCUGAGGCAUCCUAACAGACCGGUAGACUUGAACCU